Molecule: transfer RNA, 75 nt
Filed under: Acromyrmex octospinosus
Lineage: Eukaryota; Metazoa; Arthropoda; Insecta; Hymenoptera; Formicidae
Description: tRNA-Leu
Source: RNAcentral
UUUAAUAUGGCAGACUUUAAGUGCUUUGGACUUAANCUCCAAUCAUAAAGAUUUUAAUAUAAUCUUUUAUUAAAU